RNAcentral lists this transfer RNA (72 nucleotides) under Camelus bactrianus (Bactrian camel). It matches the Rfam family "tRNA". From Rfam's summary of the family: Transfer RNA (tRNA) molecules are approximately 80 nucleotides in length. Their secondary structure includes four short double-helical elements and three loops (D, anti-codon, and T loops). Further hydrogen bonds mediate the characteristic L-shaped molecular structure. tRNAs have two regions of fundamental functional importance: the anti-codon, which is responsible for specific mRNA codon recognition, and the 3' end, to which the tRNAs corresponding amino acid is attached (by aminoacyl-tRNA synthetases). tRNAs cope with the degeneracy of the genetic code in two manners: having more than one tRNA (with a specific anti-codon) for a particular amino acid; and 'wobble' base-pairing, i.e. permitting non-standard base-pairing at the 3rd anti-codon position. Lineage: Eukaryota; Metazoa; Chordata; Mammalia; Artiodactyla; Camelidae. RNAcentral also lists the same sequence under 2 other names. The record is from Rfam by way of RNAcentral.
GGGGUAAUAGCUCAGUGGUAGAGCACAUGCCUAAAAUGCAUGAGGUCCUGGGUUCAAUCCCCAGGACCUCCA